Bos taurus (domestic cattle) is the source of this 1775-nucleotide long non-coding RNA. Lineage: Eukaryota; Metazoa; Chordata; Mammalia; Artiodactyla; Bovidae. The record is from Ensembl.
CAGGACAGAGCUGGAGGCCUGAAUGCGGCAUCCUGCAGAGGGGAAAGGUACGAAUUCAGGGACUCUCUCCCAUCUGAAGGAACGCAGAAAGCUGAGCUCACACACCUAAGGUAGGUCCUGGAGGACAUGGGAUAGACAAGCAGAAUCAAGGCCUGGAGGCACAGAGAAGCCCAGUGUGAAACCAAGAAUGCCCAAGUCACCCAAGAAAGGUGCUCCAUUCCCACCCCAAUAGGUCUUCUUGAUGAAAGCAAAGAACCCUCACCCCAGAUAAAAGUCUAUGCAUAUUUGAACACAAUCUUCAGGAUUCACACCCGAGGCCCCAGCUUCAGUGGGAUAAAGUAACUGAGGCCCAGAGACACAGAGAGACUUGCAGGGAACGAUAGUGAAGAUGUACUGAAGCCAGGAUUUCUUCAGCAUCUCUGACUCCAAAGGGCUUCAAGGCCUGGGCUUUUACCAGGUUUUGCUCCCUAGAAGUUAAGCUUCCGUCUCAGGCUUUUGAACCCUUAGUUGGAGCUACAUUAGACAAUGAAACAUGUUUCUGGAGGAGGUGGCGAGUGGGUGGCCCACGGGCUGGGGCAGACAGAGGCCAGCUGAUGAGUAAAGAGGGCAAAUUAGAACACGAGGCCCAGAGAGAACAUUCUGUUGAGCUCCGACACCACACCUGGCACAGGAGGCCGAGGGCAGGCCGCAGGGGUGGGGCAGUGUGGGAAGGGAGAGGCGCACAGGGAAACUCUGAGAAUGGAAACUCUGAGAAUGGAACAGCAUGCCCUCUCUGGGAGAGCUCCCCCAGGUGGGGUGGGCACAGUUAGACACCCUGGAGUGAGUUGGAAAAGGCAGGUGGAGGGAGCUUGCAAAUACCAGCCACUAGUCACAUAGCAACUGGGUGUGUAUGAAGUGCUCACUACAUGCCCAGCACUGUACUAAACAAUGUAAGUGCUCUGUCUUGCUCAGUCCUCCAAGUCUCUGAAGUAAGGACAAAUGAUCACAGCCUCCCUUUACAGAUAUAGAAAAUAAGCUACUUGUCCAAAGAAAGUGGUAAUGUAGAGUAGGUAUGCAAUAAAUAUUUGUCAAACAAAUAGAUGGAUAGUGAGGUGAAUGGAUGGGCAGAUGGUAGAUGGGUAAAUGGGGGGAGGGGUGGAGGAUGGAUGGAUGAAUAAACCUGGUAAACAUGCCUGAUCCCCAGAUUUAUCUCUUAACUUCUCCCUAAUCCUGGGAGGCAGUAAGGAAGAGCAGAUUGCUAGAGCCUUUCAGGGGCUCCAAAGGAGAGGCACCCUGGCUGUUUUCCCCUAUUUCACUCUGAAUAAAAUCCAGAGUCGUUGCCACGAGGUUCUGUGGGAUCCGAUUUCAGCCUCAUCUCCUACCACCCUCCCCUCCACUCAUCCGCUCCAGCCGCAGUGGGCUCCUUGCUGUUCUCUCAACACGCCAAGCUCUCCCCAUCUCAGCGCCUUUGACUGACUGUUCCCUCUGCCCAAGAUACCUUCCGUCAGCUGUCCACCCCGCUCUGCUCGGACGUCACAUCCUCAGAGAGGCCUGCUAUUCCAGAUCUAAACUAUCAUCUGGUCGCUCCCUGUUCCCUUACCCAUUUUAAUUUUUCUCCUAAACAGGAGAGUUCUCCUAACCAACUCGCAUCUUACCUGUUUGUGUCUGCCUCCCUCACCCCCAGUCAGGAAUAUGAACUCAGUGAAAAUAAAGGCUUUGUUUUGUUUACAGCUGUACACGAAGCACCGAAAACGAUAACUUGUACCGUCGACGUCAAUAAAUAUUUGCUGAGUUCG